Molecule: ribosomal RNA, 264 nt
Filed under: uncultured bacterium
Lineage: Bacteria
Description: partial 16S ribosomal RNA
Rfam family: Bacterial small subunit ribosomal RNA
Source: RNAcentral
CUUAGUGGCGGACGGGUGAGUAACGCGUGGGGAACCUGCCCUGGUACAGGGGGAUAACACUUAGAAAUAGGUGCUAAAACCGCAUAAGCGCACAGCUUCGCAUGAAGCGGUGUGAAAAACUCCGGUGGUGUAAGAUGGACCCGCGUCUGAUUAGCUUGUUGGCGGGGUAACGGCCCACCAAGGCGACGAUCAGUAGCCGGCCUGAGAGGGCGGACGGCCACAUUGGGACUGAGACACGGCCCAGACUCCUACGGGAGGCAGCAG